UGUAAACCGAUAUAAAGUGUCAGAUGGGUUUAUUGGGGACUUUGUUUGUAAGAGGAAAUUCACGUUGACAACAAAUGUAAGGAGAGGCAGCACGACGAGAUUUCAAUUGACAUAAUAGGGUGUGGUAAUCCUGAGGAGCUGACUAUGGAGAGGGCCCAUACAGCAGUGGAGGGGGUGUUUGAGACCAUGCCCGAGACCGCCUCAAACAGUCCACCUCCGUCUACACAGCCAGCGAUGGAGUACAUCAGGUGAGCCGGCCACACCCCAGCGACCACGGCCUGCUCUUUCUCUUCCUGGUGGGAGGAGUCAUUCCCUCUGAGCUGCGCCUGAUCCGCAAGGUAGUCUCCGCCCACAAGCCGGGCACUCAGGUGCUGGUCCUCUCUACCAGACUGUUGAGACCUACAGACGUCCCUGAGCUGCUCUUCACCACCCAAAGACUGGUGCCAGACAUUGGUGUGUGAGCACGGAACAAGGACCACACACACACAGAAGCACGCA
Molecule: long non-coding RNA, 498 nt
Organism: Oncorhynchus gorbuscha (pink salmon)
Lineage: Eukaryota; Metazoa; Chordata; Actinopteri; Salmoniformes; Salmonidae
Exons: 4
Source: RefSeq, a predicted model, not a curated record